Molecule: ribosomal RNA, 583 nt
Filed under: uncultured soil bacterium
Lineage: Bacteria
Description: bacterial SSU rRNA
Rfam family: Bacterial small subunit ribosomal RNA
Source: RNAcentral
GCUGGCGGCAGGCUUAACACAUGCAAGUCGAACGCGUGUAGCAAUACACGAGUGGCGCACGGGUGAGUAGCGCGUGGAUAUCUGCCUUUUGGUUCGGAAUAACCCCGGGAAACUGGGGCUAAUACCGAAUGGUUCCUACGGGAUAAAGAUUUAUCGCCAAAAGAUGAGUCCGCGUCCGAUUAGCUAGUUGGUGAGGUAACGGCUCACCAAGGCGACGAUCGGUAGCUGGUCUGAGAGGACGAUCAGCCACACUGGGACUGAGACACGGCCCAGACUCCUACGGGAGGCAGCAGUGGGGAAUAUUGGACAAUGGGGGCAACCCUGAUCCAGCCAUGCCGCGUGAGUGAUGAAGGCCUUCGGGUUGUAAAGCUCUUUUGGCGGGGACGAUGAUGACGGUACCCGCAGAAUAAGCCCCGGCUAACUUCGUGCCAGCAGCCGCGGUAAGACGAAGGGGGCUAGCGUUGUUCGGAAUUACUGGGCGUAAAGCGCGUGUAGGCGGUUGUCCAAGUUGGAUGUGAAAGCCUUGAGCUUAACUCAAGAAAUGCAUUCAGGACUGGGCGACUAGAGGACCGGAGAGGAUAGU